RNAcentral lists this ribosomal RNA (461 nucleotides) under uncultured bacterium. RNAcentral's name for it is "SSU rRNA". It matches the Rfam family "Bacterial small subunit ribosomal RNA", at positions 26 to 518 of the family's 1533-position model. The record is from RNAcentral.
AGAAUCAACGCUGGCGGCGUGCCUAACACAUGCAAGUCGAACGAGAAAGGGUAGCAAUACCUGAGUAAAGUGGCGCACGGGUGAGUAACACGUGACUAACCUACCCUGGAGUGGGGGAUAACUGAGGGAAACCUUAGCUAAUACCGCAUAAUACCUACGGGUCAAAGGAGCAAUUCGCUUCAGGAGGGGGUCGCGGCCGAUUAGUUAGUUGGCGGGGUAAUGGCCCACCAAGACGAUGAUCGGUAUCCGGCCUGAGAGGGCGCACGGACACACUGGAACUGAAACACGGUCCAGACUCCUACGGGAGGCAGCAGUGGGGAAUUUUGCGCAAUGGGGGAAACCCUGACGCAGCAACGCCGCGUGGAGGAUGAAGUCCUUCGGGACGUAAACUCCUUUCGAUCGGGACGAGUUAUGACGGUACCGGAAGAAGAAGCCCCGGCUAACUUCGUGCCAGCAGCCGC